GGUUAAGCGACUAAGCGUACACGGUGGAUGCCCUGGCAGUCAGAGGCGAUGAAGGACGUGCUAAUCUGCGAUAAGCGUCGGUAAGGUGAUAUGAACCGUUAUAACCGGCGAUUUCCGAAUGGGGAAACCCAGUGUGUUUCGACACACUAUCAUUAACUGAAUCCAUAGGUUAAUGAGGCGAACCGGGGGAACUGAAACAUCUAAGUACCCCGAGGAAAAGAAAUCAACCGAGAUUCCCCCAGUAGCGGCGAGCGAACGGGGAGCAGCCCAGAGCCUGAAUCAGUGUGUGUGUUAGUGGAAGCGUCUGGAAAGGCGCGCGAUACAGGGUGACAGCCCCGUACACAAAAAUGCACAUGCUGUGAGCUCGAUGAGUAGGGCGGGACACGUGGUAUCCUGUCUGAAUAUGGGGGGACCAUCCUCCAAGGCUAAAUACUCCUGACUGACCGAUAGUGAACCAGUACCGUGAGGGAAAGGCGAAAAGAACCCCGGCGAGGGGAGUGAAAAAGAACCUGAAACCGUGUACGUACAAGCAGUGGGAGCACGCUUAGGCGUGUGACUGCGUACCUUUUGUAUAAUGGGUCAGCGACUUAUAUUCUGUAGCAAGGUUAACCGAAUAGGGGAGCCGAAGGGAAACCGAGUCUUAACUGGGCGUUAAGUUGCAGGGUAUAGACCCGAAACCCGGUGAUCUAGCCAUGGGCAGGUUGAAGGUUGGGUAACACUAACUGGAGGACCGAACCGACUAAUGUUGAAAAAUUAGCGGAUGACUUGUGGCUGGGGGUGAAAGGCCAAUCAAACCGGGAGAUAGCUGGUUCUCCCCGAAAGCUAUUUAGGUAGCGCCUCGUGAAUUCAUCUCCGGGGGUAGAGCACUGUUUCGGCAAGGGGGUCAUCCCGACUUACCAACCCGAUGCAAACUGCGAAUACCGGAGAAUGUUAUCACGGGAGACACACGGCGGGUGCUAACGUCCGUCGUGAAGAGGGAAACAACCCAGACCGCCAGCUAAGGUCCCAAAGUCAUGGUUAAGUGGGAAACGAUGUGGGAAGGCCCAGACAGCCAGGAUGUUGGCUUAGAAGCAGCCAUCAUUUAAAGAAAGCGUAAUAGCUCACUGGUCGAGUCGGCCUGCGCGGAAGAUGUAACGGGGCUAAACCAUGCACCGAAGCUGCGGCAGCGACGCUUAUGCGUUGUUGGGUAGGGGAGCGUUCUGUAAGCCUGCGAAGGUGUGCUGUGAGGCAUGCUGGAGGUAUCAGAAGUGCGAAUGCUGACAUAAGUAACGAUAAAGCGGGUGAAAAGCCCGCUCGCCGGAAGACCAAGGGUUCCUGUCCAACGUUAAUCGGGGCAGGGUGAGUCGACCCCUAAGGCGAGGCCGAAAGGCGUAGUCGAUGGGAAACAGGUUAAUAUUCCUGUACUUGGUGUUACUGCGAAGGGGGGACGGAGAAGGCUAUGUUGGCCGGGCGACGGUUGUCCCGGUUUAAGCGUGUAGGCUGGUUUUCCAGGCAAAUCCGGAAAAUCAAGGCUGAGGCGUGAUGACGAGGCACUACGGUGCUGAAGCAACAAAUGCCCUGCUUCCAGGAAAAGCCUCUAAGCAUCAGGUAACAUCAAAUCGUACCCCAAACCGACACAGGUGGUCAGGUAGAGAAUACCAAGGCGCUUGAGAGAACUCGGGUGAAGGAACUAGGCAAAAUGGUGCCGUAACUUCGGGAGAAGGCACGCUGAUAUGUAGGUGAAGUCCCUCGCGGAUGGAGCUGAAAUCAGUCGAAGAUACCAGCUGGCUGCAACUGUUUAUUAAAAACACAGCACUGUGCAAACACGAAAGUGGACGUAUACGGUGUGACGCCUGCCCGGUGCCGGAAGGUUAAUUGAUGGGGUCAGCGCAAGCGAAGCUCUUGAUCGAAGCCCCGGUAAACGGCGGCCGUAACUAUAACGGUCCUAAGGUAGCGAAAUUCCUUGUCGGGUAAGUUCCGACCUGCACGAAUGGCGUAAUGAUGGCCAGGCUGUCUCCACCCGAGACUCAGUGAAAUUGAACUCGCUGUGAAGAUGCAGUGUACCCGCGGCAAGACGGAAAGACCCCGUGAACCUUUACUAUAGCUUGACACUGAACAUUGAGCCUUGAUGUGUAGGAUAGGUGGGAGGCUUUGAAGUGUGGACGCCAGUCUGCAUGGAGCCGACCUUGAAAUACCACCCUUUAAUGUUUGAUGUUCUAACGUUGACCCGUAAUCCGGGUUGCGGACAGUGUCUGGUGGGUAGUUUGACUGGGGCGGUCUCCUCCUAAAGAGUAACGGAGGAGCACGAAGGUUGGCUAAUCCUGGUCGGACAUCAGGAGGUUAGUGCAAUGGCAUAAGCCAGCUUGACUGCGAGCGUGACGGCGCGAGCAGGUGCGAAAGCAGGUCAUAGUGAUCCGGUGGUUCUGAAUGGAAGGGCCAUCGCUCAACGGAUAAAAGGUACUCCGGGGAUAACAGGCUGAUACCGCCCAAGAGUUCAUAUCGACGGCGGUGUUUGGCACCUCGAUGUCGGCUCAUCACAUCCUGGGGCUGAAGUAGGUCCCAAGGGUAUGGCUGUUCGCCAUUUAAAGUGGUACGCGAGCUGGGUUUAGAACGUCGUGAGACAGUUCGGUCCCUAUCUGCCGUGGGCGCUGGAGAACUGAGGGGGGCUGCUCCUAGUACGAGAGGACCGGAGUGGACGCAUCACUGGUGUUCGGGUUGUCAUGCCAAUGGCACUGCCCGGUAGCUAAAUGCGGAAGAGAUAAGUGCUGAAAGCAUCUAAGCACGAAACUUGCCCCGAGAUGAGUUCUCCCUGACUCCUUGAGAGUCCUGAAGGAACGUUGAAGACGACGACGUUGAUAGGCCGGGUGUGUAAGCGCAGCGAUGCGUUGAGCUAACCGGUACUAAUGAACCGUGAGGCUUAACCUU
Molecule: ribosomal RNA, 2904 nt
Filed under: Escherichia coli
Lineage: Bacteria; Pseudomonadati; Pseudomonadota; Gammaproteobacteria; Enterobacterales; Enterobacteriaceae
Description: 23S ribosomal RNA
Rfam family: Bacterial large subunit ribosomal RNA
Source: RNAcentral